This 368-nucleotide ribosomal RNA is filed under the name Bacillus paralicheniformis. Its description in RNAcentral is "bacterial SSU rRNA". It matches the Rfam family "Bacterial small subunit ribosomal RNA", at positions 448 to 821 of the family's 1533-position model. The record is from RNAcentral. Lineage: Bacteria; Bacillati; Bacillota; Bacilli; Caryophanales; Bacillaceae.
GAAUAGGGCGGUACCUUGACGGUACCUAACCAGAAAGCCACGGCUAACUACGUGCCAGCAGCCGCGGUAAUACGUAGGUGGCAAGCGUUGUCCGGAAUUAUUGGGCGUAAAGCGCGCGCAGGCGGUUUCUUAAGUCUGAUGUGAAAGCCCCCGGCUCAACCGGGGAGGGUCAUUGGAAACUGGGGAACUUGAGUGCAGAAGAGGAGAGUGGAAUUCCACGUGUAGCGGUGAAAUGCGUAGAGAUGUGGAGGAACACCAGUGGCGAAGGCGACUCUCUGGUCUGUAACUGACGCUGAGGCGCGAAAGCGUGGGGAGCGAACAGGAUUAGAUACCCUGGUAGUCCACGCCGUAAACGAUAAGUGCUAAGU